ACCUGUUCCCAUGUCGAACACAGAAGUCAAGCUUCUUAGCGCCGAGAGUAGUUGGGGGAUCGCUCCCUGCGAGGGUAGGACGUUGCCAU
This 89-nucleotide ribosomal RNA is filed under the name Lactiplantibacillus mudanjiangensis. The record is from RNAcentral. Lineage: Bacteria; Bacillati; Bacillota; Bacilli; Lactobacillales; Lactobacillaceae.